Molecule: transfer RNA, 60 nt
Filed under: Apriona germarii
Lineage: Eukaryota; Metazoa; Arthropoda; Insecta; Coleoptera; Cerambycidae
Description: Apriona germari tRNA-Cys
Source: RNAcentral
AGUCUUAUAUUCAAAAUGAUUUUAAAUUGCAAAUUUAAAGGUGACUAAGGUCUAAGGCUU